UUGUGAGCCAGAUCAAAACCCUGUCCUGGGGAGACAAUUGGGUAUGUCCAGGUGCAGUUGUUCAAUGUGAUUUAGUCCCUACCAGGAGGUCUGGUUGCCUGGGUUCAGAACAGCAGAGGAAAAAUUAGACAAAAGACACAUUCAGAAGUCAAGGUGCUCUGACAGUUCAGCAGACAUAUGACCUAACUUCAACCAGCAGACAGGAUCUGACCUAGGAAAGAUGAAGACAAAAACCAGAUCUCAAACAGAUGUAUUGUAGUUCAAGAUUUUCUAUGCAGGUACAGUCACAUUUAUGUCUUUUAAUAAUAGAGUUCAUCCAUCAUACAAGAUUGAUGAUCCCUGCAGAAGUUAAAAGUCUAGGAAUAAGAAAUUUGCACUUUAAAGAAGUCUUUCCUUUGUCUUACGGCUUCCAGAAUUCCUGAUGAGGAGUCUGCUAUCAAUCUUAUCUUGUGGCUUUGAAGUGAUAAUGUCAUUCUCACCUGUAAUCCCAGCACUUUGGGAGGCUGAGGCC
RNAcentral lists this long non-coding RNA (511 nucleotides) under Homo sapiens (human). Its description in RNAcentral is "HSALNT0337246". Lineage: Eukaryota; Metazoa; Chordata; Mammalia; Primates; Hominidae. The record is from RNAcentral.